GUAGCAAUACAUCACCGGCGGACGGGUGCGUAACACGUGGGAAUAUACCUUUUGGUUCGGAACAACGCAGGGAAACUUGCGCUAAUACCGAGUGUGCCCUUACGGGGAAAGAUUUAUCGCCAAAGGAUUAGCCCGCGUCCGAUUAGCUAGUUGGUGAGGUAAUGGCUCACCAAGGCUCCGAUCGGUAGCUGUUCUGAGAGGAAGAUCAGCCACACUGGGACUGAGACACGGCCCAGACUCCUACGGGAGGCAGCAGUUGGGAAUCUUGGACAAUGGGGGAAACCCUGAUCCAGCCAUGCCGCGUGAGUGAUGAAGGCCUUCGGG
Molecule: ribosomal RNA, 324 nt
Filed under: uncultured bacterium
Lineage: Bacteria
Description: bacterial SSU rRNA
Rfam family: Bacterial small subunit ribosomal RNA
Source: RNAcentral